AUGAUUCCGGUGGGAGAGCCCGUAACAAGAAGCAAGAGGAAUAGAAGCAAGAAGCAGGAUUGGACGAAGGAAUUGGCAAAGCCAAUUCCCGCAUGAAAUCUUGCUCGUGCCUCCUGCAUCUUGCCUCUUGAACGGCACCGAAGAAGUAACCCGUUGGCGUGGUAGCCGCGGGGAAACUUUCAGGUUUCAGAACCGCCGGAAGACG
RNAcentral lists this non-coding RNA (205 nucleotides) under Clostridiales bacterium. RNAcentral describes it as "Glycine sequence". It matches the Rfam family "Glycine riboswitch aptamer". From Rfam's summary of the family: This family represents the bacterial glycine riboswitch. Glycine riboswitches usually consist of two metabolite-binding aptamers domains with similar structures in tandem. The record is from RNAcentral. Lineage: Bacteria; Bacillati; Bacillota; Clostridia; Eubacteriales.